AACAAACGCUGGCGGCGUGCCUAAUACAUGCAAGUCGAACGGGGAAAGCUUUCGGGUGAGUACUAGUGGCGCACGGGUGAGGAACGCGUGGAUAAUCUGCCUUAGAGUGGGGGAUAACUAGUCGAAAGAUUAGCUAAUACCGCAUAAGACCACGAGAGCUGCGGCUUUUGAGGUCAAAGGUUUUUCGCUCUAAGAUGAGUCCGCGUAAGAUUAGCUAGUUGGUGAGGUAACGGCUCACCAAGGCGACGAUCUUUAACUGGUCUGAGAGGAUGAUCAGUCACACUGGAACUGAGACACGGUCCAGACUCCUACGGGAGGCAGCAGUAGGGAAUAUUGAACAAUGGAGGAAACUCUGAUGCAGCGACGCCGCGUGAGUGAUGAAGGCCUUCGGGUCGUAAAGCUCUGUCGCAGGGGAAUAACACAAUGAAGGUACCCUGUAAGAAAGGAUCGGCUAACUUCGUG
This 462-nucleotide ribosomal RNA is filed under the name uncultured bacterium. RNAcentral's name for it is "partial 16S ribosomal RNA". It matches the Rfam family "Bacterial small subunit ribosomal RNA", at positions 29 to 507 of the family's 1533-position model. The record is from RNAcentral.